This is a long non-coding RNA of Musa acuminata AAA Group (dessert banana), 1737 nucleotides long. RefSeq lists it as uncharacterized. The record is from RefSeq and is a predicted model, not a curated record. The transcript is spliced from 3 exons. Lineage: Eukaryota; Viridiplantae; Streptophyta; Magnoliopsida; Zingiberales; Musaceae.
AUCAAACGUUUCCGAUAGAGGUAUGGUUGAAAUCGCCGUCUAAAAGGUGAAGGAAUCCUGUCUUCUCGUUUCCGGGACACCGUUUCUCUUAAAGAGCCGGAUAUCUUUUGUGGCCGCGCGUCUUCUUUCACAAGUCGCCGACGCAGCGCGAUUCAAUUCGUUGUACUCGGGAGGUGGAGAAGGGAAGGCGGAGGACCGAAAGUUAGCUUAGACAUUUAAGCGUCAUUCUUCUUUCGUUUUUCAUCUUUGAUGACCUCGAUAUCUGCUUCAAGAGCACUGAUCAGCUUAAGACUAGAACUCUGAUCUCUGAUCUUGAUUCUCUCUGAUCUCGCUUUGAAGCGAUCUCUAUCUCUAGAUCUUUGUAUGUUCAGUGGAAUGAUCGAACUUGAUUAGUCCUUCCUCGGCUUUGGUUCUUGAUUAUGUCUUCUUGUUGUGGCGAUUGUGGUUGAUGUUGUUUGGUAGGAUCGAUGGCGAAUAUAGAAUCGACGGGAUCUUGAAGGAGUUGCCGAAGACGAAGAUAGUGUGCGCACUGGGGCCGGCAUCCAGAUCGGUGGCGAUGCUGGAGAAGCUGCUGAGAUCUGGCACGAACGUCGCCAGGUUCAACUUCAUGAGUACCACCAGGAGAGCAUCGACAACCUAGGAUCGCUGUGCAGAACUCUGGAAUCCUGUGUGCCGUCAUGCUCGACAACUUCAUGGGUCUAUUUCUUCAUUUUACUUGGUUGAGAACCAGGAGGGUGUAAUGAACUUGGAUCAAAUUUUGAAGGAGACCGAUUCUUUCGUGGUUGCUCGAGGAGAUGUUGGAAUUGACAAGACUUUCCUUGCUCAAAAGACGAUUCAUUCGUGGGAAGCUCGGACAUGGCAGUUUCAGUGGCAUAGCCGUGUUCGACAUGUGUCGGACACGAAUUCGUCAUCGACUCGAUCGAACACAUGUCGGACACGUGUUCAAUCGUAAUUUUGAUGGAUACACAGCACGGCAAGUCGGAUUCCUCAGCGCGAGCGGACUGCGAAGGCCUCUUGAAACCUCUGGAAUCCUUCUUCCUCAUGGAUUCAGGAGGAUUUCUUCCCUUUUACGAAUGGAUCGUCGGCGUUCAAUACCCCACCUGCGUCUUGAGCUGCCCCGACCGACCUUUCUGCUUCAUCGGCUUCCCUUCUUACUCAACGCCGAUGCCUCUGCCCCCGCCCCACCUGUGGAAGAGGCGGGCCCUGCCCCACCUACGGCGCGUCCACCGGUGUCCCGUCAGCAUCCUCUGCCCCCCGCACUUCGGUCGCCCACCUGCGUCACCGAUGAAGCCUCUGGCAUAGUCGCGCUGUCGGGCCCUCCGCCCCGAACCCCCCUCUGCCGUCGUGCUCUCCACCCCGAGUGACCCACCAGUGACCCGGCGGCUAUCGCGCGCUCUCGGGCCCUCGACGACUUCACCAGCAUCCGGCGAAGCUUCUUCCUCAGCCGUGUGGCUUAGUCGCAAGGUUGCAAGUCUUGCUUCUUGAGAUAGGCAAGAUAGUGAUGUUCAAGAAGACAACUUUUUCUUCUUGAAAUAAGCAAGUUAGCAAUCUUUGCUACUUAAUAUAGGUAAGCUAGCAAUCAAGUUUUUGCAUUUUCUUGACUUGUGCAAGCUAGCUAUCUCCCCCUUUGUCAUUGUCAAAAAGAAGGGAAGACCCUUUACAUCAAUUAUGACAAAGGUAAGUAUCAAUCUUAUUUGUGCAUCAUCAUAUUUACAAAUUAGAAUAUGCACAUUUUCA